GGGGGUGAACGGUUUCGACUCCGUUCGUCGAGACAGGAGAAGCGGGCCGAGGACCGCAUUGCUGACCUCGUAAAAAAAGCGAUGCACAAAAAAUAAGCGCCGACAACAGUCGCGCCGACUUCGCUCUCGCUGCCUAAGCAGCCCGAGCAAGUCUGUCAGCCCGGGUCCGUCACCGGCCCGGUCGCUGGCAUCAGCUAGGUGACUCACCGUCAGUCGCGGUCGCGGCGCCGGACGGGACAACAAACAGCGACUGGGCUCGUCGGACCGGCUUGUGUGCGUGACCGGUCGAGCCGAGGCUGACACAGCACACUGCGCCCGGAGAAGUCCUGUUGAAGCGACGGAGGACGCGGGUUCGAUUCCCGCCACCUCCACUG
Molecule: transfer-messenger RNA, 374 nt
Filed under: Jatrophihabitans cynanchi
Lineage: Bacteria; Bacillati; Actinomycetota; Actinomycetes; Jatrophihabitantales; Jatrophihabitantaceae
Description: Jatrophihabitans sp. SB3-54 transfer-messenger RNA
Rfam family: transfer-messenger RNA
About the family: Bacterial tmRNA, also known as 10Sa RNA or SsrA, is named for its dual tRNA and mRNA-like properties. Its role is to liberate the mRNA from a stalled ribosome.
Source: RNAcentral